Molecule: ribosomal RNA, 253 nt
Filed under: uncultured bacterium
Lineage: Bacteria
Also listed under: 1 other name
Description: partial 16S ribosomal RNA
Rfam family: Bacterial small subunit ribosomal RNA
Source: RNAcentral
UACGAAGGGGGCUAGCGUUGCUCGGAAUUACUGGGCGUAAAGGGCGCGUAGGCGGAUGUUUAAGUCAGUGGUGAAAGCCCAGGGCUCAACCUUGGAACUGCCAUUGAUACUGGACAUCUUGAGUGCGGGAGAGGUGAGUGGAACACCGAGUGUAGAGGUGAAAUUCGUAGAUAUUCGGUAGAACACCAGUGGCGAAGGCGACUCACUGGCCCGUAACUGACGCUGAUGCGCGAAAGCGUGGGGAGCAAACAGG